RNAcentral lists this small RNA (1236 nucleotides) under Oryza sativa Japonica Group (Japanese rice). RNAcentral's name for it is "misc RNA pms3". Lineage: Eukaryota; Viridiplantae; Streptophyta; Magnoliopsida; Poales; Poaceae. The record is from RNAcentral.
GAUGGCACGAACAUUGAGUUUCUAAUUGUUCUAUUUGUAUCAGAAGCUACAACAUGUAAAGUUGAGUUACAUUGUUUGUCUUCAAAGUAAAAGAGACAGAAAACUGCCCCAAAUCCCCCCCAAGUCCUUUGUUUCUUCCUUUGCUCUGAAUUUUGUCGGAACAGCUACAGAGUGCGCCCAAAGUGUUCGUCCAUGGUUCUUCCCAACAAAACUAAUUCUAAUGAAUAAAUAAUCUUUUAUUUUGCAAAAUAUAAUUUAAGAACUGCUGCUCCAAAUUUCAUAAUAGGGAAAAGAGUAAAAAAAUUCAUGACAUUUAGAGGCCCAGCACUAGCCUAGGAAUUUGCUUCCCAUAUAUCUUGUCCAGUGCUCAUGCCAUGUUGAAAUACUUUUCAUUUUUCUUUCAUCAAAUUGCAUGCUUCACCAGCACGUCCAUAUUGAAUGCCAUCUAAACACUAAAAAUACAUCCCACAAAUCCUUUAGCAUUUUUAACCCGAAAACUUGCUACCACAAGCUUUCCCAGGAUGCACAUACUGAAUCUCUCUAUGUUGACGUUUUUUUUUUGGCAAACAAAAACUCAACUAACAAUUUGAGUAUAAUUUGUGGACAACAUAAAUGCUACUCAAUGGACAUAUGAAAGAAAAGCAGAGACAUAGAUGAGCAACAUGAGAACUUCAGCUUGAGAUAUACAUACCAACUAGAGAUUCAGUUGCUACUGCUUUACAAGACUAUUUCAUAGCACCUACAUAUAGGAGUGGGAGGCAUGGUGAAGCAAAGAAGUGCAUUGUUUGUCUACCAUCCAUCAAGAGUAAAAUUUUUAUCAACACGCAGUUCAGAUACUCUAGAUGCAGUAUAACUUCUCGGGUCUAUCUAUAACGGAGCCGCCGCUUCAAUUUUCCUAUUGCCUAACCAAUGGAGCAAACAAUGUAUAGUGUCUAGAUGGCUUUGGAAAGCAAUCCAAGAACAUCAGUGGUAGCUUGCUCCUAGUCCAGAAGGAAAAUGUGUCGCUUGACGAGGUACCACUGAAUCUUCACCAGCUAUCGUGAAUGGGAUGAUCUGAGUUGGAUGUGCAACCAAGACUUCGCCACAAAAAUGGGAAAUAGUCAUACCAAGAUGAAGCAAGCUAAGAUGCAUAUAUUACCAAUUAUAUAUGUAUCCCAAUUUACAAAUCAAUUAGCAUUACUGUGCGAUGUUAGAGAAAUAUUUCAGAUGAUUUUCCUACUCAGAAAGAACCUGGUA